UAGUGAGUUUGAUCCUGGCUCAGGAUGAACGCUGGCGGUCUGCUUAACACAUGCAAGUCGAACGGUGUCUUCGGACAUAGUGGCGCACGGGUGCGUAACACGUAUGCAACCUACCUUACAUUGGGGGAUAGCCUUUCGAAAGGGAGAUUAAUACCGCAUAAGACAGUAACUUGGCAUCAAGUAGCUGUUAAAGAUUUAUCGAUGUAAGCUGGGCAUGCGUCCAAUUAGCUAGUUGGUGAGGUAACGGCUCACCAAGGCUUUGAUUGGUAGGGAACUGAGAGGUCAAUCCCCACACUGGCACUGAGAUACGGGGCCAGAC
This 319-nucleotide ribosomal RNA is filed under the name uncultured Bacteroidota bacterium. RNAcentral describes it as "bacterial SSU rRNA". It matches the Rfam family "Bacterial small subunit ribosomal RNA", at positions 1 to 336 of the family's 1533-position model. Lineage: Bacteria; Pseudomonadati; Bacteroidota. The record is from RNAcentral.